GUCAGCUCGUGUUGUGAAAUGUUGGGUUAAGUCCCGCAACGAGCGCAACCCUUAUCCUUGUUUGCCAGCACUUCGGGUGGGAACUCCAGGGAGACUGCCGGUGAUAAACCGGAGGAAGGUGGGGACGACGUCAAGUCAUCAUGGCCCUUCCGAGUAGGGCUACACACGUGCUACAAUGGCAUAUACAGAGGGCAGCAAGACCGCGAGGUGGAGCGAAUCCCAGAAAGUAUGUCGUAGUCCGGAUCGGAGUCUGCAACUCGACUCCGUGAAGUCGGAAUCGCUAGUAAUCGUGGAUCAGAAUGCCACGGUGAAUACGUUCCCGGGCCUUGUACACACCGCCCGUCACACCAUGGGAGUGGGCUGCACCAGAAGUAGAUAGCUUAACCUUCGGGAGGGCGUUUACCACGGUGUGGUUCAUGACUGGGGUGAAGUCGUAACAAGGUAACCG
Molecule: ribosomal RNA, 448 nt
Filed under: uncultured bacterium
Lineage: Bacteria
Description: bacterial SSU rRNA
Rfam family: Bacterial small subunit ribosomal RNA
Source: RNAcentral